UUGAUCCUGGCUCAGGACGAACGCUGGCGGCGUGCUUAACACAUGCAAGUCGAACGAUGAAGCUUAGCUUGCUAGGUGGAUUAGUGGCGAACGGGUGAGUAACACGUAGGUAAUCUGCCCUGCACUUUGGGAUAAGCCUGGGAAACUGGGUCUAAUACCGAAUAGGACACACUAUCUUUACGGUGGUGUGUGGAAAGCUUUUGCGGUGUGGGAUGAGCCUGCGGCCUAUCAGCUUGUUGGUGGGGUAAUGGCCUACCAAGGCGUCGACGGGUAGCCGGCCUGAGAGGGUGAUCGGCCACAUUGGGACUGAGACACGGCCCAGACUCCUACGGGAGGCAGCAGUGGGGAAUAUUGCACAAUGGGCGAAAGCCUGAUGCAGCGACGCCGCGUGGGGGAUGAAGGCCUUCGGGUUGUAAACUCCUUUCGCUAGGGACGAAGAGUUACAUUGACGGUACCUGGAGAAGAAGCACCGGCUAACUACGUGCCAGCAGCCGCGGUAAU
RNAcentral lists this ribosomal RNA (501 nucleotides) under uncultured bacterium. Its description in RNAcentral is "bacterial SSU rRNA". It matches the Rfam family "Bacterial small subunit ribosomal RNA", at positions 13 to 524 of the family's 1533-position model. The record is from RNAcentral.